CGGAGGAAUCAUUACUGAGUUUACGCUCUACAACCCUUUGUGAACAUACCUAUAACUGUUGCUUCGGCGGGUAGGGUCUCCGCGACCCUCCCGGCCUCCCGCCUCCGGGCGGGUCGGCGCCCGCCGGAGGAUAACCAAACUCUGAUUUAACGACGUUUCUUCUGAGUGGUACAAGCAAAUAAUCAAAACUUUUAACAACGGAUCUCUUGGUUCUGGCAUCGAUGAAGAACGCAGCGAAAUGCGAUAAGUAAUGUGAAUUGCAGAAUUCAGUGAAUCAUCGAAUCUUUGAACGCACAUUGCGCCCGCCAGCAUUCUGGCGGGCAUGCCUGUUCGAGCGUCAUUUCAACCCUCAAGCUCUGCUUGGUGUUGGGGCCCUACAGCUGAUGUAGGCCCUCAAAGGUAGUGGCGGACCCUCUCGGAGCCUCCUUUGCGUAGUAACUUUACGUCUCGCACUGGGAUCCGGAGGGACUCUUGCCGUAAAACCCCCAAUUUUCCAAAGGUUGACUCG
This 508-nucleotide ribosomal RNA is filed under the name Colletotrichum gloeosporioides. Its description in RNAcentral is "eukaryotic LSU rRNA". The stretch from base 187 to 340 matches the Rfam family "5.8S ribosomal RNA". Lineage: Eukaryota; Fungi; Ascomycota; Sordariomycetes; Glomerellales; Glomerellaceae. The record is from RNAcentral.